CCUACGGGCGGCAGCAGUGAGGAAUAUUGGUCAAUGGACGAGAGUCUGAACCAGCCAAGUAGCGUGAAGGAUGACUGCCCGAUGGGUUGUAAACUUCUUUUAUAUGGGAAUAAAAUGUUCCACGUGUGGGAUUUUGUAUGUACCAUAUGAAUAAGGAUCGGCUAACUCCGUGCCAGCAGCCGCGGUAAUACGGAGGAUCCGAGCGUUAUCCGGAUUUAUUGGGUUUAAAGGGAGCGUAGGUGGAUUGUUAAGUCAGUUGUGAAAGUUUGCGGCUCAACCGUAAAAUUGCAGUUGAAACUGGCAGUCUUGAGUACAGUAGAGGUGGGCGGAAUUCGUGGUGUAGCGGUGAAAUGCUUAGAUAUCACGAAGAACUCCGAUUGCGAAGGCAGUUCACUGGACUGCAACUGACACUGAGGCUCGAAAGUGUGGGUAUCAAACAGGAUUAGAUACCCCAGUAGUC
Molecule: ribosomal RNA, 460 nt
Filed under: uncultured bacterium
Lineage: Bacteria
Description: partial 16S ribosomal RNA
Rfam family: Bacterial small subunit ribosomal RNA
Source: RNAcentral